UCGUGGCACCAACCGGUACCAAUGCCCCCCUUUAGUCCCGGUUUGUGGCACCAACCGGGACUGAAGGUGGGCUUUGGUACCGGUUCGUGCCACGAA
This 96-nucleotide microRNA precursor is filed under the name Triticum aestivum (bread wheat). RNAcentral describes it as "MIR5387 microRNA precursor family". It matches the Rfam family "MIR5387 microRNA precursor family". The record is from Rfam by way of RNAcentral. Lineage: Eukaryota; Viridiplantae; Streptophyta; Magnoliopsida; Poales; Poaceae.